CCCAGUUCAGAUCGCAGUCUGCAACUCGACUGCGUGAAGUCGGAAUCGCUAGUAAUCGCGGAUCAGCAUGCCGCGGUGAAUACGUUCCCGGGCCUUGUACACACCGCCCGUCACACCAUGAGAGUCGGGAACACCCGAAGUCCGUAGCCUAACCGCAAGGGGGCGCGGCCGAAGGUGGGUUCGAUAAUUGGGUGAAGUCGUAACAAGGUAUC
This 212-nucleotide ribosomal RNA is filed under the name uncultured bacterium. RNAcentral describes it as "partial 16S ribosomal RNA". It matches the Rfam family "Bacterial small subunit ribosomal RNA", at positions 1287 to 1500 of the family's 1533-position model. The record is from RNAcentral.